ACCGAUACGAAAAUUAGCAUUCAGAAUGGUGAAUAAAAUCUAACAAUAUCCUAUCUUAAGUUCCAUCAUGGAGAUGUUCAGUCGACAUCCAAUUUUUCAGUCCUUCCAAUUUUAGUGUAUUUUUAGAAAUAUUGCAUGGAAAAUACUUUGCCAGAAAAAAAUAAACUUUUACCUUGAUACAAUAUGGAUAAUAAUCCCAUAAUGAAAAUGAGCAAAGGCUGUUGGAAAUUUGAUGAAGAUGAUCGAGCAUUAUAUAUAGACAUUGAAGAAAAUACUGAAGAAGAGAAAGAAAAUAAAAUAUAUAGCUGUUGGGAUCAAACACCUGAUAUACUUUUAGAAGAAAUUUUUUCUUAUUUAACUAUUCGUGAAAGAUAUUAUGCAUCUUUGGUAUGUAGGUCAUGGUAUCGUGCUUUUAAAUUGCCAAAAGUAUGGUCUACAUUUACAUUAGAAGAUACCACUCUUACUAGAGGCAAAUUUAAUUAUCAUAGUGGUUGGCAAUAUGUUUUGGAUCAUAUGAGAACUUCCACAUGUUUGAAUAAAGUUGGAAGAAAUUUUAGAUCUCUUGUUUUUGAACCAAUGUUGAAUUUUUAUAAUCUUUAUGAAUUUAUGAAUAUGAUAUCAUGGUACACUGAAAAACAAGGAUCAGAUAAUACAUCAGUGGCAGGAGUUGGUACUUAUAUUCGACGACUUAAAUUUACAUUUCCUUGUAAUAUGGCAAACAGAGAUGAUCCUGAUAGUAUUAGAAUUUUUGGUACUGGUGGAAAAUUAUUAGAAGCAUUGAAAAGAUUGAUGCGUAAUUUACAUAAUUUGAAAUGCUUAGAGUUGAUAGAUCUCAUGUUAGAUAGUAAAGAAGCUUUACAUUUAAUGGAUGAUAUCUGUGCAAAUUGUACUCAGACAUUAUCAAAAUUGGUUUUAAUUAAUACUACAAGAUAUCAUUGCCCUCUUUUACAUGUAGGAGUAUUUAUUAAUUUAAAUGUAUUAGUUAUUAGUCCUCAAAAUCUUCAUGAAGAUGUAAUAGAUUUAAUUGGAUAUACUAAAUUGCAACAUCUUCAUAUUGUUCAAAAUUGCUAUAGUCCAAAAGAUGCUACAGUGAGAUUGCCUUCAAGAAAAUCUUGGAUAAAGAUGAAAAGAAACAAUCCCCACAUUAAAGUUCACUUUGAAGUGGAAAGUCAUAAAUCUACAGAUGUACUUUUACCCAUUGAUUUAUUAGAACAUGGGAAUAUUCCAUGUCACAGUAUUGUUUUAGAUAUUCCAAAUACACAGAUUUCAUCUUCAACUAUUCUUAAUCAUGGAACAUUUUUUGAAUCAACAAUAAAGGUAUAUGCGUUUAAAGGUCUAAGCAGAUAUUUUGUGCCCAGAAAUUUUUCUCAAAGAUUGGAUGAAGCACUAGUACAAUUUUGCAAAAUGUGUCCAAACCUUCAUACACUGGUAUCACUUUGUGUUUGACUGAAUUUCUGAUGUGUAUUGUCACUUUUUAAAAUCACUAUGAUUUUAACAAAAACUUUUAAUGAUGUGUGAUAGCAUGCAUUCAAAUUUUUGUUAUACAAAAUUAUUUAUUACUAUUCGUCUUCUAUGGAUCUAUUUAUGUACAUAUGUUGUGUGGCAAUAUAUCACUGAUUUGUCAAUAGUACAUAAGACAAGAGAUUUAAAUUCAGAUCAAUGAUUGUAUCAAUGACUUGGAAGCCAAUCAGUGGGAGACAAAUAUUUUACCAUGACACAUUUAAUAAUUUGCCUGGGUUAAUAACUGGUCUUUGAACGAAUAAUACUUCAUACAAUUACAUUAAUCCACGGAUUGGUUUCCUUGAUGAUUCGAGAUAAAAUUUCAACGGCCACCAUUUUAGAAAUUGUAUCUACAGCAAAGAAUUUACGUUGUUUAUAUGUCAGAAGAUAUUCAAUUUUAAAAAAAUGUGAUGGGGAUUGGUUAAAAAUUAUGAACUGGUCACCUGAACAUUAUCAAUGGAUUCAAAAAAAUAGCCGUAGUUAUGAAAAUACAGAAAAAGAAGUAUCUAGAAUAUUGAACUAUAGAUGGCACAUGUUGAGUGAAAGAGAAUUUGCUGAUCAAAUGGUGAAAUUACAUUUAUAAUGUAUUCAUAAAAAAAGGAAAAAGUUUUUAAAAAAAGUGUUUUAUAACAGAUUGUGAUUAUAUAAUUAUAUCUCUAAAUAAUAUCUUAUAAAAUGUAUUGUUUAUGUAGUUUAUAUAUUACGUUUGUAUAUACGUAUAAUUUGUAUAAUGUAUUUACACUUUUUGACAUAACUGUGAUGAUGUAAAUACAUAAGAAAUUAUUGCUUACUUAAAGUUGAUUAAGGUGGAUUGUUAAAUACAGAAUUGUACAAUCAUCAAAAAUAAUAACAUAAUAAAAUGACUGAAAUUGUA
This is an RNA transcript of Apis mellifera (honey bee), 2374 nucleotides long. RefSeq lists it as uncharacterized. The transcript has 7 exons. The record is from RefSeq and is a predicted model, not a curated record. Lineage: Eukaryota; Metazoa; Arthropoda; Insecta; Hymenoptera; Apidae.